GAUGAACGCUGGCGGCGUGCCUAAUACAUGCAAGUCGAGCGAACAGACGAGGAGCUUGCUCCUCUGACGUUAGCGGCGGACGGGUGAGUAACACGUGGAUAACCUACCUAUAAGACUGGGAUAACUUCGGGAAACCGGAGCUAAUACCGGAUAAUAUAUUUAACCGCAUGGUUCAAUAGUGAAAGACGGUUUUGCUGUCACUUAUAGAUGGAUCCGCGCAGCAUUAGCUAGUUGGUAAGGUAACGGCUUACCAAGGCAACGAUGCGUAGCCGACCUGAGAGGGUGAUCGGCCACAGUGGAACUGAGAAACGGUCCAGACUACAACGGGAGGCAGAAGAAGGGAAUCUUCCGCAAUGGGCGAAAGCCUGACGGAGCAACGCAGCGUGAGUGAUGAAGGUCUUCGGAUCGUAAAACUCUGUUAUUAGGGAAGAACAAAUGUGUAAGUAACUAUGCACGUCUUGACGGUACCAAAUCAGAAAGCCACGGCUAACUACGU
Molecule: ribosomal RNA, 496 nt
Filed under: uncultured bacterium
Lineage: Bacteria
Description: partial 16S ribosomal RNA
Rfam family: Bacterial small subunit ribosomal RNA
Source: RNAcentral